RNAcentral lists this non-coding RNA (609 nucleotides) under Mus musculus (house mouse). Lineage: Eukaryota; Metazoa; Chordata; Mammalia; Rodentia; Muridae. The record is from RNAcentral.
GGCUUGAGGACCGUAUUCAUGGAAGAGGAUCGAACAGUAAAGAGCCCAGCAUUUGAUAAAAAUGAGAAUAUAUCGCCUCAAGUAAAAGGAGAUGAAGACAUGGGAGAUGAAAUUGACAGUAUGUUGGCUACAUCUGGAGGUCUUUUCUCCUGAGAACACGGGACUCCAACAUCUUCGGAUUCUGCUCUUGGAGGUGUGAGUCCCUGCCUCUCUGCACAGGGGAACUUAUGUCUCUCCACAUGUCCGCAAAUGUCUACCCAAGAUUAUACAUCUUCCAAAGGCUUUCAAAUACUUCUUUACAUAAACAAGGGGUUUGCCCCACAUCCUCUAUAUUGCAGAAAACAAGACUAGGCUCUACCUCUGUAGAUCAAGCACGACUGAAAUCCGUGCUCUCAAAAGAUGCUGGGGAGAAAGAGUGCCAUUCUUCACAAAUGCUGAUGUGUGCAGCUGAACAGAGCGUUGAGGAAACGUCAGUGAUUUUAUAACUACUUAUCAUGUUGGGAGAUUGUUGUGAUGAUUGCCUGGACUCUCAGAUGUUACACAGGCUGCAUCAUUGGACUGAAAGUGAAUGGCCCAUGUGUUGCCACUGAUGUGAGCCAUUUGCAGCCC